UUGCCAGCUCCAGAGAAUGAAGUCCUCUGUUUAGUUAGAGAACAGAUACAGUAUAGGCAGCAAAAAUGCAAGUUUCUGGCCCCCCAGUUUUGUCUGCAAGGUCCACCUCUAGCACUGAAGCAAAAGUUCAGUCUCCCUGUCUAUGCAAUCAAUUGUCCCA
RNAcentral lists this small RNA (160 nucleotides) under Chelonoidis abingdonii (Abingdon island giant tortoise). RNAcentral describes it as "TUC338 (ENSCABG00000002831.1)". The record is from RNAcentral. Lineage: Eukaryota; Metazoa; Chordata; Testudines; Testudinidae.